RNAcentral lists this ribosomal RNA (497 nucleotides) under uncultured bacterium. Its description in RNAcentral is "partial 16S ribosomal RNA". It matches the Rfam family "Bacterial small subunit ribosomal RNA", at positions 28 to 507 of the family's 1533-position model. The record is from RNAcentral.
GAUGAACGCUGGCGGCGUGCCUAAUACAUGCAGGUCGAGCGAACGGACGAGAAGCUUGCUUCUCUGAUGUUAGCGGCGGACGGGUGAGUAACACGUGGAUAACCUACCUAUAAGACUGGGAUAACUUCGGGAAACCGGAGCUAAUACCGGAUAAUAUUUUGAACCGCAUGGUUCAAAAGUGAAAGACGGUCUUGCUGUCACUUAUAGAUGGAUCCGCGCUGCAUUAGCUAGUUGGUAAGGUAACGGCUUACCAAGGCAACGAUGCAUAGCCGACCUGAGAGGGUGAUCGGCCACACUGGAACUGAGACACGAUCCAGACUCCUACGGGAGGCAGCAGUAGGGAAUCUUCCGCAAUGGGCGAAAGCCUGACGGAGCAACGCCGCGUGAGUGAUGAAGGUCUUCGGAUCGUAAAACUCUGUUAUUAGGGAAGAACAUAUGUGUAAGUAACUGUGCACAUCUUGACGGUACCUAAUCAGAAAGCCACGGCUAACUACGUG